This 23-nucleotide non-coding RNA is filed under the name Arabidopsis thaliana (thale cress). The record is from RNAcentral. Lineage: Eukaryota; Viridiplantae; Streptophyta; Magnoliopsida; Brassicales; Brassicaceae.
AUUCGCCGAACGGUUAGUUACAG